GGGUGACGAGCGGCGGACGGGUGAGUAAUGUCUGGGAAACUGCCUGAUGGAGGGGGAUAACUACUGGAAACGGUAGCUAAUACCGCAUAACGUCGCAAGACCAAAGAGGGGGACCUUCGGGCCUCUUGCCAUCAGAUGUGCCCAGAUGGGAUUAGCUAGUAGGUGGGGUAACGGCUCACCUAGGCGACGAUCCCUAGCUGGUCUGAGAGGAUGACCAGCCACACUGGAACUGAGACACGGUCCAGACUCCUACGGGAGGCAGCAGUGGGGAAUAUUGCACAAUGGGCGCAAGCCUGAUGCAGCCAUGCCGCGUGUAUGAAGAAGGCCUUCGGGUUGUAAAGUACUUUCAGCGGGGAGGAAGGUGUUGAGGUUAAUAACCUCAGCAAUUGACGUUACCCGCAGAAGAAGCACCGGCUAACUCCGUGCCAGCAGCCGCGGUAAUACGGAGGGUGCAAGCGUUAAUCGGAAUUACUGGGCGUAAAGCGCACGCAGGCGGUCUGUCAAGUCGGAUGUGAAAUCCCCGGGCUCAACCUGGGAACUGCAUUCGAAACUGGCAGGCUAGAGUCUUGUAGAGGGGGGUAGAAUUCCAGGUGUAGCGGUGAAAUGCGUAGAGAUCUGGAGGAAUACCGGUGGCGAAGGCGGCCCCCUGGACAAAGACUGACGCUCAGGUGCGAAAGCGUGGGGAGCAAACAGGAUUAGAUACCCUGGUAGUCCACGCCGUAAACGAUGUCGACUUGGAGGUUGUGCCCUUGAGGCGUGGCUUCCGGAGCUAACGCGUUAAGUCGACCGCCUGGGGAGUACGGCCGCAAGGUUAAAACUCAAAUGAAUUGACGGGGGCCCGCACAAGCGGUGGAGCAUGUGGUUUAAUUCGAUGCAACGCGAAGAACCUUACCUACUCUUGACAUCCAGAGAACUUUCCAGAGAUGGAUUGGUGCCUUCGGGAACUCUGAGACAGGUGCUGCAUGGCUGUCGUCAGCUCGUGUUGUGAAAUGUUGGGUUAAGUCCCGCAACGAGCGCAACCCUUAUCCUUUGUUGCCAGCGGUCCGGCCGGGAACUCAAAGGAGACUGCCAGUGAUAAACUGGAGGAAGGGUGGGGGAUGACGUCAAGUCAUCAUGGCCCUUACGAGUAGGGCUACACACGUGCUACAAUGGCGCAUACAAAGAGAAGCGACCUCGCGAGAGCAAGCGGACCUCAUAAAGUGCGUCGUAGUCCGGAUUGGAGUCUGCAACUCGACUCCAUGAAGUCGGAAUCGCUAGUAAUCGUAGAUCAGAAUGCUACGGUGAAUACGUUCCCGGGCCUUGUACACACCGCCCGUCACACCAUGGGGAGUGGGUUGCA
This 1339-nucleotide ribosomal RNA is filed under the name Enterobacter asburiae. Its description in RNAcentral is "bacterial SSU rRNA". It matches the Rfam family "Bacterial small subunit ribosomal RNA", at positions 86 to 1419 of the family's 1533-position model. The record is from RNAcentral. Lineage: Bacteria; Pseudomonadati; Pseudomonadota; Gammaproteobacteria; Enterobacterales; Enterobacteriaceae.